Eriocheir sinensis (Chinese mitten crab) is the source of this 4069-nucleotide long non-coding RNA. RefSeq lists it as uncharacterized. Lineage: Eukaryota; Metazoa; Arthropoda; Malacostraca; Decapoda; Varunidae. The transcript has 2 exons. The record is from RefSeq and is a predicted model, not a curated record.
UUAAGUUAGGGAAUGGAUGUUUUAGAUGUUUAUUCAAAUGUUGAUGCAUUUUAAAAUCAAUUACUAAUUAAUUACUAUUAACCUGUCCGGUGUGAUUAGCACGGAUUUUGUCUUCACUGGUAGCCUGGUAACAUAUUAUACUCCCAGGUCUUUCUCUGCCUCUGUGGUGGAUAGUGAAGUGUUUCCCAUGUGGUAUUGGUAUGCUGGAUUUCCUCUCCCAAGGUGCAAGACUUUACAUUUUUCUUCAUUGAAUUGUAGCAGCCACUUUUUGUUCCAUUCCUGUAGUUUGGUGAUGGUUUCUUGUAAGAAGUCUGCAGUCAAAGGGUUAAGAUAUUCCUAAUCAACCGUUUACUUGGGUAUUAUCAACUAAAUAUUCACUAUAUUAAGGAAAUCACUAAUCAGUCAAAGUUGGCUGCUACUAGGGAGAGUAUGCAUAUAAAAAAGGAAGGAAUGGCAAACAGUUCAGGUAUAGAUGGUAUAUUUAUUUUCAUAACACGUUGCUAUAUAAAUGACUUCAAAUAAUAAAAAGUACAGUAAUAAAUUUCUCCUCCGAUAAAAACAAUUUUCUUUUCAACCAAAUAACAUUUCUUUAGACUUAAAAGUAUAAAAAGGGGCAAAAAUUCUUAUAAAAAUUUUUCCAAAGAACCUCCGCAGUGGGCAAACAAAUGAAGUCAAAAAAUUUUCGCAUGUAAACAUUUGGCCUCACUGGCUCCUCCGUUGAACUUCCUCCUUUGUUAUAAGAAUUCCGAGCUUUGAACAAAAAUAAUAAAAAGAAACCUAGAUCAGUGCAGAUUCUGUACAUCUCUUAACUGACCAUACAGGCAGAAAAUACAAUGGCAAUAAUGAUAAAAAUGAAUAAUGAAAGUAUGUGAUAAUAAUAAUAAUAAUUUUGAACUUAUCCUUAUAAAAACAGGCCCAAAAUAUUUGUACAUUCAUUAUAAACAGCAGUGGGAGGGUGUGUCUCGCCGCCGUGCAGGGAGACGUGUGAACAACUAACGCUAGCUCUGAAAAAUGUGAAAAAAUAGAUCUAUGUAUAUAAUUUUUUUCUUUUUUUUUUUAUCUCCGCUUCCGGAAUAGUAGUAUCAAAGUUCCGAUUGCACGGCGCUGCUCGCUGAGACACACCGCCAGCAUCGUCACCUCACCUCACACGCACACGGUGGAGAUGACAAUAAUAAUAAUAAUAAUAAUAAUAAUAAUAAUAAUAAUAAUGAUGAUAAUAUAUAGAGCAUGACAAAAAAAGCUUAGGUGAAAAAAUCUGUAAAAAUUACGUACAAAUAGCUAUCUAUAUACAACACUACGGUCCAUCCUUAAUGUGUAUGUAAUGCCUCUCGAUCCCUUUCCUUUCGGGCCUACCAGGUGUAUGGGUUUCAAGUGCAUCCCCCUGCCCCCCUCAUACCCCCCACGUUAUUAAAAUUAUUACUAUUACGUAUUAUUUUCCCGCGCGGCCAAAUUGCAACAGACGAAACUCCGGAGAAAAAACGAGGAAGAGAGUAACAAUAAUAAUCCUUCCAUUGCAUAAAAUUUAACUGUAUAUCCAAAUUGUGUCUAUAAAGUUUGGUUCAAUGUCUGAUUUAUAUUUUUUUCUCUUCGCUUUUCCUUUUGUUUCUGAUACACGAAACUUCAGAAGGAAAAAACGAUGAAAAGAAAAAUAUAAGACCUUCCAGUAUAUGAAAUUUAACUACUAUAUGCAAAUUUUGUCAUAAUAUAGUCAAGUUGAAUAGAACUGAUUAACCUCCUUCCUUUGUGGCCCUUGGAAAUAAGUGUUUUGAGAGCCGCAAGCAUUUAGAAGUAUGGGUCCUGAUCUCACCCGUUUUUUUUCAGUAGACCAAAUUUAAAUAUAUUCAAACUGCAUUGAAAUAUUGUUAAGUUGAACAGCGGAAGUAUAGUAUCUUCACUCCUAUCUCUUUCAUCUGUUACUUCUAUUUUUUGACGCACGAAACACCAGAAAAAUACAGAAGAAAAGGAAGAAAAAAAUAUAAUACUCCUUCCAGUCCAUUCAACAUAACUAUAUGCAAACUGUGCUACAAAGUUAAGAUCAACGGCGGAGUUUUUUUUUCACACUUGUUUUUUUCUUCCGAGUUGUGCUGUUGCAUAUUUGGCAGGUUGAGGGUGGGUGGGAGGGGGGGAGGCCACUGUUUGGGGAGUAGGGGGGAGGGGGUGUGGGGGGCUGGGGGGUACACUGGCCCUUAUACUUACAACUCUCACAGUAAUUACAAACGAACGUGAACUUAACAUAAGUUUUUCCCUCUUUCCUAUCACACAAAAUCCACUUUCCUUCAUGUAUCACUAAAGCUUUAUAGUAGCCAUGUGUAAGCUUUUAAUAACACACCAGCAAAGUAGUAAAUUUGUAAGCUGUUUCCUUUAGUGUAAUAAUAAUAAUAAUAAUAAAAAAACUAAUUCCCUUUUUCUGUAGUAUACACAUUAAACAUUCCUUGCCGUAACAUUUCCUUAAUACAGACCAAGGCUUACAUACACAUUUCUAACAUUUUGAUUUUGCCUGCACGACUGUCUAAGUGGGGCAAUGUUUGAUACAUUUUUCCUUACAUCAUUUUUUUUCACGCAUAUUAAGUACAAAAGUGAGCAAUGGGCAGGAGGGGGUUGACAAGGCCUCACGACAGCCAGGUUAGGCGUUACAAAAUGGUAGUAUAGCAAAAUCUGUCUUCUCAUCUCUCUAUAUAAUGUAAUAACUAAUUAAAUCCAUCCUUCAACUACCUAAUUACCUUGAGCAUUAUACUGCAUGUGAUGUGCUUAAGGGGAAGUUUAGGCACUGCUGUACACACACUACGAAUACCUUUAAGUACAAAAACACACACACACACACACUUACGUACAUUCGCUCUCUCUUUUGCUUCAUCUCUCUCUCUCUCUCUCUCUCUGUUUCUAUACACUAUAUAUAUGGCAACUAAGCUUCAUUUCAGAAAAAAAACACACUUUUUAAAUGCGGGAGAAUCCAGGGCUUUCUUUGGGGGGUUAGGUGUGUAAGGUUGUUAUCAAAAGCGUUAUCAAAAGGAAGGAGGUCUGCGGCUGGGCCAGGUUAGGUUAGGCCGCGUCACGUUAAGUUAGGCCGGGCCAGGCUAGACCACCAGACGCUUGGCCCAUGAGAACAGCAACGGCCUAUAAGUCUCCGCUAAGCACCGAGAAACAGCACUACACACACACACAAACACACACUUAAGAAUUUGUUUUAAAGUACGCACACAAACACAAAAUUAAAGUACACACACACACACACACGAAAAAAAAAAAAACAAAAAAAAAAAACGCUCACACACACGCACACACAGCCUAAGCCUUCAUCCAGCUCUUAGGAAACAGACAGGCCACACAACCUCUAUGUCUUUUAUGUCUGCCACUAGACAAGGUGAGAAUCAGUACGUAUUAUGUAUGUAGUAAAGGAUGCCGCUGCCAGCCACACACACACACACACACACACACACACACAAAAAAAAUACUACACACACACAUGCAUGGUGGGAUUAUACUACUAUUAUUAGGGUAGAAACAUACACAUACGCGAGGGUUGACAUGCUUUGAAUACUGGGUUUGGUUAUGUCUUGGUUAGUCCAGGUUAUGAAGAGUUGGUUGUGUCAAGGAUCUCUCUCUCUCUCUCUCUGUUUCUCUUUCUGUCUAUUCUAAUAAAAAGGUGUCGGUAACAAUUCUUUCGCCUUUUUUUUCUCGUUUACCUCUUUGCACCUGUUCGAGCGUGUUUCUUAGGUUAGUUUUCGUUCUUUCUCUGUUUCUGUCAUAAUAAAAAGGUGUAUCACAAUUCUUUCCUCUCAUUUAACUCCUUGCACCUAUUCGAGCGUGUUUCUUAGGUUAGUUUUCGUUCUUUCUCUGUUUCUGUCAUGAUAAAAUGGUGCAUCAGUAACAAUUCUUUCCCGUCUUCUUUUUCCUCAUUUAACUCUUUGCACCUAUUCGAGCAUAUUCCUUAGGUUAGUUUUCGUUCUUUCUCUCUUUCUAUCAUAACAAAAAGCCAUAUCAGUAACAAUUUUUUCCUCUUGUUUAACUCUUGCACCUAUUUGAGCGUAUUUCUUAGGUUAGUUUUCAUUCUUUCUCUCUUUUUAUCAUA